GCGCUGGGAGAGGCGGGGUGGCGGUCACGCCAACCGCUGGCGAUUGGCUGUGCCCACAGCAGCCUGACCAAUACCGGUGUGGCGGAGGCCAUAAACGACGUAGCGUGGAACACGCGCGUUCUUUUCAGCCGGAGGGCUCGGCGGGAACCGGCGGCGCGGGACUCGGCGGUGGCGGCGUCCCGGAGCCUCCGUGGCCGAUCCGCGGCGGGGCCCGGCCUUCUGGGCCGCUAAAACGCGGUGUCCCCUGUUCCGGGGUUGGCGGUAAGUGGGGCUGAGCCCCAUAGGGAAAUCCUCUACAACUUGGAAGCACAAAGAAGCGGCUGCAGAAUGGGCUGGAGGAAAGAAUUCACCGACUUUAACUCGCCCUCAUGAGUUACUUCAAGGUGAAUGUCUGGGCAAGGUGAUGGGUGCAGUAAUGUGAGUAAAUGAAGGGAUUUACACUCUUAACGUCAAUGCUACAGUGUGUAGAUGGACAAUUUAAAACCUUUUUUCUCUUUAGCUGUUUUCCCAGUCUCAAGACCAAUCUUAUUCGUAAUUGCUUUACUGCUGUAUUUCUGCUUUGGCUUCUAUAUAAAACAAAUUUUGUAGCUUGUGGGUGAAUAAAGUUUUGUAAAGUCUGGG
This is a long non-coding RNA of Parus major (Great Tit), 621 nucleotides long. RefSeq lists it as uncharacterized. The record is from RefSeq and is a predicted model, not a curated record. Lineage: Eukaryota; Metazoa; Chordata; Aves; Passeriformes; Paridae. The transcript has 2 exons.